AUUGAACGCUGGCGGCAGGCCUAACACAUGCAAGUCGAGCGAGCGGCGGACGGGUGAGUAAUGUCUGGGAAACUGCCUGAUGGAGGGGGAUAACUACUGGAAACGGUAGCUAAUACCGCAUACCAUCAGAUGUGCCCAGAUGGGAUUAGCUAGUAGGUGGGGUAACGGCUAACCUAGGCGACGAUACCUAGCUGGUCUGGGAGGAUGACCAGCCACACUGGAACGUAGACACGGUCCAGACUCCUACGGGAGGCAGCAGUGGGGAAUAUUGCACAAUGGGCGCAAUGCUGAUGCAGCCAUGCCGCGUGUGUGAAGAAGGCCUUCGGGUUGUAAAGCACUUUCAGCGGGGAGGCGUUACCAACAGAAUAAGCACCGGCUAACUUCGUGCCAGCAGCCGCGGUAAUUC
RNAcentral lists this ribosomal RNA (406 nucleotides) under uncultured bacterium. RNAcentral's name for it is "partial 16S ribosomal RNA". It matches the Rfam family "Bacterial small subunit ribosomal RNA", at positions 30 to 526 of the family's 1533-position model. The record is from RNAcentral.